AUGUUAUACACAUGGUCACGUAUGGAUCAAAUUCAAGCAACGUUCAGCAGCAUGAAAAUAGUUUGGCAAUCCAACAACUCAAUGAAGAAAACUGAAAUAAAAAAAGUUCUUCCAGCAUUUAACUCCUCAGAUGUCCCUUCUGCUCCACAUAAUGCGCAACAUCUCUUAGAUGCGCUUUCAGGAAUUGGAACGAUAUAUGAGGCAAAACAAGUCAUCACAGGAGCAUCCUACGCCUCAAGGAAGCAAAUUUGUUACAACCUCCAUCCGUGGAUACACUCAUUUCAGCGACAGUUAAUUCUGGACGGAGGGAAUACAUUGCAACAUUUGAAACCAGAAAUCAAGAAAAAGAAUCAUUUCAAGUUGUAG
This 366-nucleotide ribosomal RNA is filed under the name Triticum aestivum (bread wheat). RNAcentral describes it as "partial small subunit ribosomal RNA". The record is from RNAcentral. Lineage: Eukaryota; Viridiplantae; Streptophyta; Magnoliopsida; Poales; Poaceae.